AGAGUUAAAUAGUACGUGAAAUUGUUGAAAGGGAAACGAUUGAAGUCAGUCAUGCUAGUGAAAAAUCAGUUUGACGGGUUUUGAGUUCGGGAGUAGAGGCAGGGUCAAACCGUUUCUCUUUUGGACUUGGGAUUUGUCGGAUGUACUUUUUCUUUGGCAGGUCAGCGUCGGUUUCGGAGGUUGUAAAAUACUUGGGGGAAAGUAGCUCUGCUUCGGGAGAGUAUUAUAGACCCUGGGGGAUGCGGCCUGUGGGAUCGAGGAUUGCAGCAAAUGCCUUUGGCUUGUCGCCUGAUCUCUGGAUGUUACCUCUCUUGUGACAACAUUCUUGCCACCGGGGAGUACUGAUGCCCAUUAGGUUAGAACGAUCAAAAAUUUGCUAAGGAUGCUGACGUAAUGGCUUUAAACGA
RNAcentral lists this unclassified non-coding RNA (407 nucleotides) under uncultured Glomeromycotina. RNAcentral describes it as "sequence contains 28S rRNA gene". The record is from RNAcentral. Lineage: Eukaryota; Fungi; Glomeromycota.